AGGGCACCACCAGGAGUGGAGCCUGCGGCUUAAUUUGACUCAACACGGGAAAUCUCACCAGGCCCGGACACCGGAAGGAUUGACAGAUUGAGAGCUCUUUCUUGAUUCGGUGGGUGGUGGUGCAUGGCCGUUCUUAGUUGGUGGAGCGAUUUGUCUGGUUAAUUCCGAUAACGAACGAGACUCUGGCCUACUAACUAGACGUUGGAUCCCUUUGUGGGUCCAUCGCAGCUUCUUAGAGGGACGGGCGGCGUUUAGCCGCACGAGAUUGAGCAAUAACAGGUCUGUGAUGCCCUUAGAUGUUCUGGGCUGCACGCGCGCUACAUUGAAGGAAUCAGCGUGUGUUCCCUAUCCGAAAGGAUUGGGAAACCCGUUGAACCUCCUUCGUGAUGGGGAUUGGGGAUUGCAAUUAUUCCCCAUGAACGAGGAAUUCCCAGUAGGCGCGAGUCAUAAGCUUGCGUCGAUUACGUCCCUGCCCUUUGUACACACCGCCCGUCGCUACUACCGAUCGAGUGAUUUAGU
Molecule: ribosomal RNA, 519 nt
Filed under: uncultured eukaryote
Lineage: Eukaryota
Description: SSU rRNA
Rfam family: Eukaryotic small subunit ribosomal RNA
Source: RNAcentral